AGCGGCGGAUGGGUGAGUAACACGUGGGGAACCUGCCCCUAAGUCUGGGAUACCAUUUGGAAACAGGUGCUAAUACCGGAUAAUAAAGCAGAUCGCAUGAUCAGCUUUUGAAAGGCGGCGUAAGCUGUCGCUAAGGGAUGGCCCCCCGGUGCAUUAGCUAGUUGGUAAGGUAACGGCUUACCAAGGCGACGAUGCAUAGCCGAGUUGAGAGACUGAUCGGCCACAUUGGGACUGAGACACGGCCCAAACUCCUACGGGAGGCAGCAGUAGGGAAUCUUCCACAAUGGACGCAAGUCUGAUGGAGCAACGCCGCGUGAGUGAAGAAGGUUUUCGGAUCGUAAAGCUCUGUUGUUGGUGAAGAAGGAUAGAGGUAGUAACUGGCCUUUAUUUGACGGUAAUCAACCAGAAAGUCACGGCUAACUACGUGCCAGCAGCCGCGGUAAUACGUAGGUGGCAAGCGUUGUCCGGAUUUAUUGGGCGUAAAGCGAGCGCAGGCGGAAAAAUAAGUCUAAUGUGAAAGCCCUCGGCUUAACCGAGGAACUGCAUCGGAAACUGUUUUUCUUGAGUGCAGAAGAGGAGAGUGGAACUCCAUGUGUAGCGGUGGAAUGCGUAGAUAUAUGGAAGAACACCAGUGGCGAAGGCGGCUCUCUGGUCUGCAACUGACGCUGAGGCUCGAAAGCAUGGGUAGCGAACAGGAUUAGAUACCCUGGUAGUCCAUGCCGUAAACGAUGAGUGCUAAGUGU
RNAcentral lists this ribosomal RNA (743 nucleotides) under uncultured bacterium. RNAcentral describes it as "bacterial SSU rRNA". It matches the Rfam family "Bacterial small subunit ribosomal RNA", at positions 94 to 823 of the family's 1533-position model. The record is from RNAcentral.